UACGUAGGGGGCAAGCGUUGUCCGGAUUUAUUGGGCGUAAAGAGCGUGUAGGCGGCUUUACAGGUCCGUUGUGAAAACUCGAGGCUCAACCUCGAGACGCCGGUGGAAACCGUAAAGCUAGAGUCCGGAAGAGGAGAGUGGAAUUCCUGGUGUAGCGGUGAAAUGCGCAGAUAUCAGGAAGAACACCCGUGGCGAAAGCGGCUCUCUGGGACGGUACUGACGCUGAGACGCGAAAGCGUGGGGAGCAAACAGG
RNAcentral lists this ribosomal RNA (253 nucleotides) under uncultured bacterium. Its description in RNAcentral is "partial 16S ribosomal RNA". It matches the Rfam family "Bacterial small subunit ribosomal RNA", at positions 524 to 776 of the family's 1533-position model. The record is from RNAcentral.